GACAACCUACUCGGGUUUUCUUCAACACUGUGGAAGGUUUCUUUGUUCUUUUGUUCUUUGCAAUAAAUCUUGCUACUGUUCACUCUUUGGGUCCACGUUGCUUUCAUGAGCUGUAACAUUGUCUGCGAAGAUCUGUAGGUUCACUCUGUAGGUUCACUCCUGAGCCCGGCGAGACCACGAGGUCAGCGGGAGGAAAAACAACUCCAGACGCGCUGCCUUAAGAGCUGUAACACUCACCACGAAAGUCUACAGCUUCACUCCUGAGCCAGCGAGACCACAAACCCACCAGAAGAAAGAAACUCCGACCACAUCUGAACAUCAGAAGGAACAGACUCCAGACGUGCCACCUUAAGAGCUGUAACACUCACCAUGAGGGUCCGCGGCUUCGUUCUUCAAGUCAGUCAGACCAAGAACCCACCAACUCCGGACACAGUGGCAUGUGCCUGUAGUCCCACCUAUGAAGGAGAAUGAGGUGGGGGACUGUUUGAGCCCAGGAGGUUGAAGCUACAGUGAGCCAUGAUCGUGCCACUGAACUCCAGUCUGGGCAAAACAGUAAGUCUCUAUUUUUGUCACCUAAGAGUAAAGAAGUUUUUUUUUGUUUGUUUCUUUGUUUUUUGAGAUAGUCUUGCUCUGUUGCCCAGGCUGGAGUGCGGUGGCGUGAUCUCGGGUCACUGAAAGCUCUGCCUCCUGGGUUCACACCAUUCUCCUGCCUCAGCCUCCCUAGUAGCUGGGACUACAGGCACCCACCACUGCGCCCGGCUAAUUUUUUGUGUUUUUUUAGUAGAGAUGGGGUUUCAUCCUGUUAGCCAGAAUAGUCUUGAUCUCCUGACCUGGUGAUUGGCCCGCCUCGGCCUACCAAGGUGCUGGAAUGACAGGCGUGAGCCACCGCGCCCGGCCUAAGAGUAAAGAAGUUCUUAACCAGAAAUGCAAAAGUACAGAUCCCAAGAAAAAGAAACAUAACUGAAUUUUAUUUUAUCAAUAUUAAGGAUUUCUGUUCAAUGUAGAUAUUGUGGACAAGAUACUUGAUGCUGG
RNAcentral lists this long non-coding RNA (1032 nucleotides) under Homo sapiens (human). RNAcentral's name for it is "HSALNT0333815". The record is from RNAcentral. Lineage: Eukaryota; Metazoa; Chordata; Mammalia; Primates; Hominidae.